UGGAAGCUGAAGUGAAGCACGGAGCUCCUUUUCUACACGGACCUGCUGAGGACAGAAGAGAGCUGCUCACUGAGGAACUUCAUGUCUACAAGAUCAAACAACAAGCUCUAACAAGCUGCGUCACCUGGAAGGUGAAGUGAAGCACGGAGCUCCUUUUCUACACGGACCUGCUGAGGACAGAAGAGAGCUGCUCACUGAGGAACUUCAUGUCUACAAGAUCAGUAAGUGGAGCUGUGAUUGGAUGAAUGAUCAUCGAUGGUCGUGGACGUGUGAUUGUUUAAAGCUGGGAAACAAGAUGGCGCCUGUGUGAGCAGGCAGAGAGGAGCUGCUGUUGGUCUGAAUGAUGAAGAAGAGGAGCUCAGUCUGAUCUGGGGUCUGUGAGGACUGUUACUGA
Gasterosteus aculeatus aculeatus (three-spined stickleback) is the source of this 394-nucleotide long non-coding RNA. NCBI's taxonomy places the organism in Eukaryota, Metazoa, Chordata, Actinopteri, Perciformes, Gasterosteidae. The record is from Ensembl.